UACGUAGGGGGGCGAGCGUUUGUCCGGAUUUAUUGGGCGUAAAGAGCGUGUAGGCGGCCAGGUAGGUCUGCUGUGAAAACUCGAGGCUCAACCUCGAGACGUCGGCGGAAACCAUCUGGCUAGAGUCCGGAAGAGGAGAGUGGAAUUCCUGGUGUAGCGGUGAAAUGCGCAGAUAUCAGGAAGAACACCCGUGGCGAAGGCGGCUCUCUGGGACGGUACUGACGCUGAGACGCGAAAGCGUGGGGAGCGAACAGG
Molecule: ribosomal RNA, 255 nt
Filed under: uncultured bacterium
Lineage: Bacteria
Description: partial 16S ribosomal RNA
Rfam family: Bacterial small subunit ribosomal RNA
Source: RNAcentral